Molecule: non-coding RNA, 24 nt
Filed under: Arabidopsis thaliana (thale cress)
Lineage: Eukaryota; Viridiplantae; Streptophyta; Magnoliopsida; Brassicales; Brassicaceae
Source: RNAcentral
GGAGCCUCAAGGACGUCCAAGCGA